CCUACGGGUGGCAGCAGUGGGGGAUAUUGCACAAUGGGGGGAACCCUGAUGCAGCGACGCCGCGUGGGUGAAGAAGCGCCUCGGCGCGUAAAGCCCUGUCAGCAGGGAAGAAAAUGACGGUAGCUGAAGAAGAAGCCCCGGCUAACUACGUGCCAGCAGCCGCGGUAAGACGUAGGGGGCGAGCGUUAUCCGGUUUUACUGGGUGUAAAGGGGGCGCAGACGGCGAUGAAGGCCAGGAGUGAAAGCCCGGGUCCCAACCCCGGUACUGCUCUUGGAACUGCGUGGCGGGAGUGCAGGAGGGGGAGGGGGAAUUCCGGGUGUAGCGGUGAAAUGAGUAGAUAUCAAGAGGAACACCGGUGGCGAAGGCGGCCUGCUAGACUGCAACUGACGUUGAGGCCCGAAAGCGUGGGGAGCAAACAGGAUUAGAUACCCCAGUAUC
This 439-nucleotide ribosomal RNA is filed under the name uncultured bacterium. RNAcentral's name for it is "partial 16S ribosomal RNA". It matches the Rfam family "Bacterial small subunit ribosomal RNA", at positions 338 to 794 of the family's 1533-position model. The record is from RNAcentral.